UGAUUUAUAUGGAGAUACUCGAGUCCAGCAGCUAUUCCCAUUGCAAUUCGGUGACGUGCAGACCAAUCUAGUUCCCGUGUCCCCUCUCUGACUUGCUGGAGGGUAUCCUGUAAGCUCCCAUUUUUCAUGUACUCAUAGACCAAGUAAUGGCAGUCUGGUCUUGGCAUAUGUGCCAGUAGGGGAAGCAAAUUCCGGUGUCUGAUUUGACCUACAAUUUUGAUUUCUGAUUUAAUCUGGCGCAUUUUCUUACUCAUAGCCUUGCUAUCUUCCUCAGUGAGUUCUGCAGCAUCCCUUGGUGGUUGUAUGAUCUUCUUUACGGCUAUAAUCUUUCCGUCACUUCCAGGUAACGCAGCUUUAUAAACUUUUCCACAUCCACCUUGCCCAAUGAGUUCUAGUGAUUCCAAUCCAUCUUCGUUCUCCAGAAAGGCCAAGUGCUCGGCUUUCUUAAUCAAUGGACUGAAAAUUGUUAAGCCUGAAUCAUUUCUGAUCCCUCUGAUUAAAAACAUAAGCACCUUGAAGAGGACAGAGAAGACCAACGCCGAUAAGCCCCCAGCGAAAACUCCAGCAAAGAAUCCAAGAAUCCAGGCGCCUACCUUCCUUCUGAUCUUGUUGUGUUUGUCUUUUUUUACUGGUACUACAACUGUAC
RNAcentral lists this long non-coding RNA (646 nucleotides) under Solanum tuberosum (potato). RNAcentral describes it as "long non-coding RNA (STUB_LNC004071)". The record is from RNAcentral. Lineage: Eukaryota; Viridiplantae; Streptophyta; Magnoliopsida; Solanales; Solanaceae.